GUAAUUUCGAAGUUAAAACUCGAAAUUACCAUUUUUUUUUAAUAUAUAUUAGAGUUUGCAUUAACAUAGCCCAAAGGGCAAAUUUGCACAAAGAGAGUUUGGAAAAAUACAUAACAGGGGGCCCAAGCAAAUCACAAACUAGACAACCCAAAUACAAGAUAUCUUAGGCCAAUUUCAAUCAAGAGACCCUAAUCUGAGCACAAAGAGCCAGGAGCCACUUUGUAAAAAAAACAUCAAGCACAAAAAAGGCCAUCACCGGACCUUCAUUUCCACAGGUUAGAACUGCUAGCCAUACAGGGAGGGUGACAUCACAACACUCACUAGCUUUUCAAUCUCCUAGAGCUUGCGGAUCAAUCUUCAAACAGAGAGAAAGAGGCAUAUUCCCUAAAGUAGUGGACGUCCAUGAAUGCUUAAAGCCCUCCAUUCAAGUCAGGUGACAGCUCCUAGAAUCAAAGACUCAAUACACGAACACAAAGCUAACCACCUAGCUCUCUAGAAAGCCAGAUCUGCUACAAGACACCUUCUCUUUGAAGCUCCAAAGAUCGGCAACUAUACCUAAAAGAACUACAACCUCAAGUCAGGUGGGGAGGAAGACCCAUAAACCAACCGGUGAAAAAAACAACCACAUUCCCUUGCCCCAAGGCAGAAGAGGCCUAAUCAAGAAAAUACAAAGCUGUCUUGUUUUUUUCUCCAUUGCAGUGACUUUAUGGGUGAUUUGGAAAGAAGGAACCGAGCAAUCUUUGACCAUUGUCUUUCAGACCCUCUAGCAAACUCUUAUCGUAUUAGCAGAUCGUUGGCUGAAUUGCGUCAUUUGAAGGAUAUAUCAGCAGUGCCUCACUCUUCAUCAGCCAUUUCUCAGAGAUUGCAUAGAUGGCAACCUACCUCUUCUAGUUUUGUUAAGAUUAACUGUGAUAUGGCCUGGAGAUAUUGCAGUGAUUGUUAGAAAUCACCAAGGCUGCCUUGUUGAUGAAACAGUAAGGAAGGUUUUCUGUUCUUCUCCUUUAGCAGGGGAGGCUCGUGCAGUAUUAGAAACUAUUCGUCUUGCUAUUGCUAGGGGAGAUAAAUCGGCGAUCCUUGAAACAGAUUCCUCAGUCCUCCAUGCUGCUCUGGUUGAUUCUAUAAGAUAGUUCCUUGGGAUAUUAAAACUUUGACCAUUUCUAUCCUAUCUUUGAUCCCUGCCUAUGAUUUUGUUUACUUCUCUUCGAUCAAUAGGAGAGCUAAUUCUGUAGCUGAUUGUGUGGCUAAGCUCAGUGCUAGAAAUAGUCUUCCUCCCAACUGGUUAGCUAUUGCGCCGGAAGAGGUGGUUGAUUGUUUGUAAUCUGAUGCCUUAGCAGCAGCCUCUUUAUGGC
RNAcentral lists this unclassified non-coding RNA (1349 nucleotides) under Hevea brasiliensis (rubber tree). The record is from RNAcentral. Lineage: Eukaryota; Viridiplantae; Streptophyta; Magnoliopsida; Malpighiales; Euphorbiaceae.